AUGUCUAAUGAUAAAGCUAUUAAUAUUUCAUCAUAGUUACAGCUAUUUAGUUAUCAAAACGGAACUAUGGUAUAAU
This 76-nucleotide non-coding RNA is filed under the name unclassified sequences. The record is from Rfam.